GUCCUGAUUGGCUCCCACGGUUCUCGCUCGGCUUCAUAUCCGGACUAGCCGUCGCACACGGCUGUCGUAUCCCCAAGCUCUGCACUCUGGCGCCGCCUCCUCUAGCCCUGCCCGCUUGUGCCGACGGCCCGGCGCCACCUCCCGCAACUCCACACGGCGGUAACCCCAACUCUAUCCGCUAACAUCUCAGCACGGUGAACCCGCCACUCGCAGCCCUCCCGUCUCAGAUCCAGUUUGAUUAGUUGGUUAUUUGUGCAGAUCCUACAGUUUGAUUAGUUAGUUAUUUGUGCAGAUCCUAACCAACUGUGAUCGCUGCUGCUGCGGCUUGAUCAGAGCGCGUUCUCUGGUGACAUACCUCUGGAGAUUGGGCGGCUGCAGCAGCUCUAAGGCUGACCUUAACAGCAGCAAGUUUGAGGACAACUACAGUUAGCCAAUAUGUUUUCUGUCUAUGUCCUCGCGAAGUACUAGAGCAGUAGCUACAUACCGUGGUUUGUCCAUAUCCUGUUGUUAGAUGAUCAAGGGUGAUUAGAUACAUGUUCUGGAACCAAUGUUCAGAUGACAAAUUGCAAACUAAACACCCUUUUGUUCUCUAUCUUUUUUUUUUUGCAAUUGCAAUGCGUGUAAAGUACAUUAUCAAUGUCAGCCCCAGGCAUAUCAAUCGUCCUCAUGCCCGGCCGUGUCCUAGCGUGGAAAAAUU
Molecule: long non-coding RNA, 697 nt
Filed under: Zea mays
Lineage: Eukaryota; Viridiplantae; Streptophyta; Magnoliopsida; Poales; Poaceae
Description: long non-coding RNA NONZMAT003058
Source: RNAcentral